Molecule: ribosomal RNA, 253 nt
Filed under: uncultured bacterium
Lineage: Bacteria
Description: partial 16S ribosomal RNA
Rfam family: Bacterial small subunit ribosomal RNA
Source: RNAcentral
UACGGAGGGGGCAAGCGUUAUUCGGAAUUAUUGGGCGUAAAGGGCGCGUAGGCGGCUAGAUGUGUCAAAGGUGAAAUCCCUCGGCUCAACUGAGGAACUGCCUUUGAAACUGUCUGGCUUGAGGCCGGGAGAGGGUAGCGGAAUUCCCAGUGUAGCGGUGAAAUGCGUAGAUAUUGGGAGGAACACCGGUGGCGAAGGCGGUGGUCUGGGCCGGCACUGACGCUGAGGAGCGAAAGCGUGGGGAGCGAACAGG